This 231-nucleotide unclassified non-coding RNA is filed under the name plant metagenome. RNAcentral describes it as "partial contains small subunit ribosomal RNA, internal transcribed spacer 1, and 5.8S ribosomal RNA". The stretch from base 183 to 231 matches the Rfam family "5.8S ribosomal RNA", at positions 1 to 49 of the family's 154-position model. The record is from RNAcentral.
UUUCCGCAGGUGAACCUGCGGAAGGAUCAUUCAUAAUAAAGUGUUUUAUGGCACUUUUUAAAAAUCCAUAUCCACCUUGUGUGCAAUGUUAGAUCUCGUCAAUCUUGGCGAGAUUUUUAUACAUCAACUCAUUCUUUAACUAAUUUGUCUGAAAAAUAUUAUGAAUACUUAAUUCAAAAUACAACUUUCAACAACGGAUCUCUUGGCUCUCACAUCGAUGAAGAACGCAGC